GUACUUGAUGUUCAAAAGAUUAAUUCAUUAAGGGUUAAAGUGAAUGGAAACUGUGCACAAGGUAGGAAACCGGAAAAGAGGUGGUGAGUCCAUCGGACUGCUUAAGUACCAAGCUCCCUUCGGAUCCAAUCCUAGACAUGCAUACCGCCAUUGCCACACCUUAACGUCAUGGAUAUUUCUAGGAAACCGAUUUGAUUAAGUCAUUUUUAGGAAAAGUGAUUAAUUUUGGAAAAAUACUUUCAUUGCGGAAGCUUUGCUUGUUGUCGUGUUAUUUUGAAAUCAACUGUUGUUUUUGAAAACGCGCCCUAAAGCUAUCCAAUUUCAACAGUUAAAAUAAGUAUUACCUAUCUUAGUAAUACAUAUUAAAACCAUCAAAAAUAAUUAAGCGGCCUUAUUACAUUUAAAAACCUAAAACUUCAAACUUAAAUAAAAGGAUGUCCAGUUCACCAAAAGAAAAUCAAACUUUCAGAACGGGUGGCCACUCCGAAUUCCCUCACAGCUCCAAGCCCACUAUGGUUGGGGAUUUCCUGCGUGGAUGAAAAUAAAAGGGGUGAGUUUGGGGAAACUCAGUGUGUAAGGAAAACCCAUUCAAAGCCCAAGUUAGCUCAAGCCCAUUGGGCCUAAGCCCAUUCAGGUAACAGUGGUACUGGGCCAGAGCCCUUUUCAGAUUACAAUAAACUGGGCCUUAGCCCCUUAUUCAGAUAAUAGUAUGGCCCAUAGGCCCAUUUCAAAAUACAUGCAACAUCAGUAAACAUAUGCAAGCCCAUUUGGGUAACAGUGGUACUGGGCCGAGCCCUUUUCAGAUUACAAUAAACUGGGCCUUAGCCCCUUAUUCAGAUAACAGUAUGGCCCAUAGGCCCAUUUCAAAAUACAUGCAACAUUAGUAAACAUAUGCAAGCCCAUUUGGGGAGACUACUCAACCCACCAACCACUACACUCCACCCGUACCAGCCAUACACUCUAUGUGGGGAAUAGCUCAACCCACCCAGCCCAACACUCCACAGUUGCAGCCUUGCUGCUCAGUUAACAGUAAAUUGAGGCAAAGCCUCCAGUACGUGGACAAGCCACUUUCAAUACUUCCUACGUCAAUAUCCCAGUCUCAUGCAUCAGAUAAUAACAACAUGGCAUGCAGUAAAUAACAACAGUCAAACAUGCAUUUAGGUCAAUUUAACCCUAGGGGUAUUUCGGUAAUUUAUCUCCUAGGGGUAAAACUGUAAAUUUUUCACUUUUAAAGGUAUUUCAGUAAUUUAUCUAUUUUAGGGUUUUUCAUGCAUAUUCCUACCUUUCACGUACUAACAGAAUCACGACCGAGGGUUCUUACCGAAUUGGGCCCGUUGGCCCAUCAUUCCAAUUUUGGCCCAUUAAGCCCAAAAAUAUCGAGGGCACAGAAAUCAUGCACUUUGCAGUCCAAACAUUGCAGCUUACCAAAAACAUUAAUCGAUUUACCUCACGAGCAUUCGCACACUCGCAAAUCUACAAAAUACCGGUUUUCGGCAUUUCGGAUUUUCGGCUUUUGCCGAUCUAGACUAAGAAAGAGGGUGUUAGUUACACACCUGUUUGCGACGAUAUGCUGACGAGAUCCACACACGAACUGCCUUCAAUUGGAUUACUAGCACGUUAAUCUAACUAUUCAAAUACAAACUACGUAUUAACCCCUUAUAAUAUUCGGCCAACCACACCUACAGAUCAUAGUAAGCUUAUAAGAAAUCAAUAAGCAACUCAUUAAUAAAUUUUUGUCAAUGUUUACCACAUAAUCAUAAUUUCACUGCAAGCUGUCUUCCUGAGCAACAGUCACUAAAUUAUUUAUAACUGGAGCUACGAAACUCUAAAUCAAGUUCCGUUAAUUUUCCCUGAAAAUAGACUCAUAUAUCUUAUAUCCAUAAAAUUUUCAGAAUUUUUGGUUUAGCCAAUCAAUACCAGAUUUUUCUCAAAGUUUCCCAUGUUUCACUGUUUGACUAAUCUGACCACUCUUCAUUACGAAUCAAAUUUAUCAUUGUAAAGAAUUCAAAAUAUGUUCUUGUUUAUUUCAUUAGAAACUAGACUCAAUAAGAUUUAAUUACAUAAUUUAUUCAGCUUCUAAUUCAUCUCCCACAAUUUAUGGUGAUUUUCCAAAUUCAAGUUACUGCUGCUGUCCCAAGCAGAUUUAUUACCAAAUCACUCUUUCACACAUACCUUGCAUGCAUGUUAUUUAAACAUGUAUAUCACCAAUCAAUCAUCACAUAUCUAUGAUUUUACUUAAGAAUAAUCUCCAUUUCAUCAUUUUAAAGCACAGCAUGUUAGCUGAUUUUUCCCUUUAACAUCUAAGGCACAUGCAUGCUCAUUUGUUUGGCUCAACUUCACCUAUCUUCCAUUUUUUUUCAUCAAAAGAACAUGAAACAACAACCAUUUCCUUCAUUUUAAUUCAUGACUAAAUGCUCACAACACAACUAAAAACCAAAAUAUGCUUCAAGAGUUAAGGUAGAAUCAAGAAGAACUCAUGAACAUCAAGAUAGAAGCCAACUACCAUGAACUUACCUUCAAUUUUCUUCCCCAAGUGACCGAACACUCAAGAGCUUUCUCCUCUCCUUUCUCUUCUCUAACUUUCAGCUAUGAUGAACAAAGAUGGACAAAACUUUGUUCUUUUCACCCCUUUU
RNAcentral lists this long non-coding RNA (2633 nucleotides) under Gossypium barbadense (sea-island cotton). RNAcentral's name for it is "long non-coding RNA (GBAR_LNC000109)". Lineage: Eukaryota; Viridiplantae; Streptophyta; Magnoliopsida; Malvales; Malvaceae. The record is from RNAcentral.